RNAcentral lists this transfer RNA (31 nucleotides) under Triticum aestivum (bread wheat). RNAcentral describes it as "partial tRNA-Arg". The record is from RNAcentral. Lineage: Eukaryota; Viridiplantae; Streptophyta; Magnoliopsida; Poales; Poaceae.
UUUGGUAUAGGUUCAAAUCCUAUUGGACGCA